UAGGGAAUAUUGCACAAUGGAGGAAACUCUGAUGCAGCCAUGCCGCGUGUGUGAAGAAGGCCUUCGGGUUGUAAAGCACUUUCGGAGGGGAGGAAAAAAUAGACGUUACCCUCAGAAGAAGCACCGGCUAACUCCGUGCCAGCAGCCGCGGUAAUACGUAUGGAGCAAGCGUUAUCCGGAUUUACUGGGUGUAAAGGGAGUGUAGGCGGCUUUGCAAGUCAGAUGUGAAAGCCCGGGGCUCAACCCCGGGACUGCAUUUGAAACUGUGAAGCUGGAGUGUCGGAGAGGUAAGUGGAAUUCCUAGUGUAGCGGUGAAAUGCGUAGAUAUUAGGAAGAACACCAGUGGCGAAGGCGGCUUACUGGACGAUUACUGACGCUGAGGCUCGAAAGCGUGGGGAGCAAAC
RNAcentral lists this ribosomal RNA (404 nucleotides) under uncultured Lachnospiraceae bacterium. RNAcentral describes it as "bacterial SSU rRNA". It matches the Rfam family "Bacterial small subunit ribosomal RNA", at positions 355 to 773 of the family's 1533-position model. Lineage: Bacteria; Bacillati; Bacillota; Clostridia; Lachnospirales; Lachnospiraceae. The record is from RNAcentral.